RNAcentral lists this ribosomal RNA (564 nucleotides) under Nothogenia fastigiata. RNAcentral's name for it is "eukaryotic LSU rRNA". It matches the Rfam family "Eukaryotic large subunit ribosomal RNA", at positions 364 to 1006 of the family's 3401-position model. The record is from RNAcentral. Lineage: Eukaryota; Rhodophyta; Florideophyceae; Nemaliales; Scinaiaceae.
AUGGAAAGUACUUUGAAAAGAGAGUGAAAAGAACUUGAAACCGUCACGGGGGAAGCGAAUUGCGUGAGUGAUGGUGUCGCUUGUUCAGCACCCCUUUUUUGCGGGCGUGUAUUCUGGCGGCACCUUGUCGUUGUGGCUGGCUGGCGUGUGAUUUUGACACGCUCGGCUGGUGAGGGCUCCCUUUUUUUUAGGUGAGGACAACGACGAAAUGACGCAAUACGACCCGUCUUGAAACACGGACCAAGGAGUCUAGCACGGCUGCGAGUCGAAGGGUGUAAAACCCAAGGGCGCAGUGAAAGCGAAAUUAUAAGCAAGUUGGGGAGGCGUUGCGUUUUUAACAAAAUGUCCUACCUUGAGCACUUGUGCUGGGACCCGAAAGAUGGUGAACUAUGCCGGAGUAGGGCAAAGCCAGAGGAAACUCUGGUGGAGGCUCGUAGCGAUGCUGACGUGCAAAUCGCUCGUCGAACUUGGGUAUAGGGGCGAAAGACUAAUCGAACCAUCUAGUAGCUGGUUCCCUCCGAAGUUUCUCUCAGGAUAGCGGGCCGACAUUAUGUUGUUUUGUGC